Molecule: long non-coding RNA, 354 nt
Organism: Diospyros lotus (date-plum)
Lineage: Eukaryota; Viridiplantae; Streptophyta; Magnoliopsida; Ericales; Ebenaceae
Exons: 3
Source: RefSeq, a predicted model, not a curated record
AGUUGAAGCACUCUAAGAGGAGGAGCUUGCUCUAGAGAGAGAGUAGGAAGUUCGGCAAGAAGGCGGGAAGAAAGCGGCGAAGAAGCGGCGGAGAAUGGGCCUCGUCGGAGUUGCGGGUCUUCGCCGGAGUUAGCCAAAAUCAAUCAGCAAAAAAGCGAGAAACCUAGGCCGUUUGCUGUAAAAUUAUACCGUCGAAGAGAUAAACCAACAAGGUGAGGUGGUGAAUUUGUGGAUUAUUUUACAUCUCCAUUAUCUGACAGCCCAAGGAGUGGAGUCUAUUUUUGUCAACUUCUAGUCCACAAUGGGCCAUGCCAUGCUUCAUGUCGGACUUCAAAUUCACAUAGAGAACGUGCU